This 413-nucleotide ribosomal RNA is filed under the name uncultured bacterium. RNAcentral describes it as "bacterial SSU rRNA". It matches the Rfam family "Bacterial small subunit ribosomal RNA", at positions 30 to 441 of the family's 1533-position model. The record is from RNAcentral.
AUUGAACGCUGGCGGCAGGCCUAACACAUGCAAGUCGAGCGGUAGAGAGGUGCUUGCAUCUCUUGAGAGCGGCGGACGGGUGAGUAAUGCCUAGGAAUCUGCCUAGUGGUGGGGGAUAACGUUCGGAAACGGACGCUAAUACCGCAUACGUCCUACGGGAGAAAGCGGGGGGAUCUUCGGACCUCGCGCCAUUAGAUGAGCCUAGGUCGGAUUAGCUAGUUGGUGAGGUAAUGGCUCACCAAGGCGACGAUCCGUAACUGGUCUGAGAGGAUGAUCAGUCACACUGGAACUGAGACACGGUCCAGACUCCUACGGGAGGCAGCAGUGGGGAAUAUUGGACAAUGGGCGAAAGACCUGAUCCAGCCAUGCCGCGUGUGUGAAGAAGGUCUUCGGAUUGUAAAGCACUUUAAGUU